Molecule: ribosomal RNA, 473 nt
Filed under: uncultured bacterium
Lineage: Bacteria
Description: bacterial SSU rRNA
Rfam family: Bacterial small subunit ribosomal RNA
Source: RNAcentral
UGGGGAAUAUUGGACAAUGGGCGAAAGCCUGAUCCAGCCAUGCCGCGUGUGUGAAGAAGGUCUUCGGAUUGUAAAGCACUUUUAAGUUGGGAGGAAGGGUUGUAGAUUAAUACUCUGCAAUUUUGACGUUACCGACAGAAUAAGCACCGGCUAACUCUGUGCCAGCAGCCGCGGUAAUACAGAGGGUGCAAGCGUUAAUCGGAAUUACUGGGCGUAAAGCGCGCGUAGGUGGUUUGUUAAGUUGGAUGUGAAAUCCCCGGGCUCAACCUGGGAACUGCAUCCAAAACUGGCAAGCUAGAGUAUGGUAGAGGGUGGUGGAAUUUCCUGUGUAGCGGUGAAAUGCGUAGAUAUAGGAAGGAACACCAGUGGCGAAGGCGACCACCUGGACUGAUACUGACACUGAGGUGCGAAAGCGUGGGGAGCAAACAGGAUUAGAUACCCCCGUAGUCCCUGAGCGGGCUGGCAAGGCGCAU